UGGGAGGGGGAUAUACGUCAUAACGUAAGAUCGCGCCAUACUGGCAGUGGCCAGAGUAGAGAGCCUUGAUAAAGUAUGGAACGUUUUCAGGAUAUUCAGCUUUCACUAAAGCGAAUUUUAGUUGAUGUGUCAAUGAAGAACAAAAGCUGGAAUGUGAAUAGAAGAAGGGGUCGUACGGGGUCUGUAAAAAUACUCAAGUGGUGCUCGCUGCAUAUCAGAUCAAGCAUUGGAAUAAGAUUUUUAUCGGGGGAGAACAACCAACAGAAAGACCCAUUCACCAACUACAUGGCGCACUGAAAGGGGAGAUUCAUGUCACCUUCACCAGUCCUUUCUUUAAUUGCUGGAAACUGUUAAGGGAAAGACCCUCAGACAUAAUAGGAUAAAUGUGGCUGCAGGUAAAAUUAUUUGAUGGUGUUAAGGUUUAUCAUUAUCUAACAAACCAAAUGCUUUGUUCAAUAACAAGAAAUCACGUUAGGGCCAUUUUCUGGAAGAGAAAUCCACUUGGACAGUUUGACAAGGAUCAAGAGGCCAAGGACCAGGUGGUGAAGUCGGAACCAGACCAGACAGCUCUCGCACAGCCAGCCUCUGAACCUGCUCUACAGUUUGAAUCGCCCGGGUGAAGUUAAACUCUACUUUGCUGGUGACCCAGAUGGCUGAGAACAUGAUAGGCUGAAACCCUGGAAGCUAAGAGGGAAGCGGCAAAGGAGUUCGAAGAAGAGCUGAAAAGCACGUCUUAAUGAACACAAGGACAAGGCCUGGUGAAAGCCACUACAGAGGAUCAUAGCCAUCGUUGGAGUUCUGAAAGGACGUGGGUGAAUAUCAAUCUGCCAAAUGAACUUUUUUUAGCAUGCACAUUCACAUCUUUAUAUUAAUACUGAUUAUAUAUGAACUUGUUUGUUUGUUACUGGAAAGAACUUAGCUUCUAUUGUGUUUGACAGAAGGAGUUUUAAGCCUAUGUGCAUUUUCUAGAUGUUAAGCAUGAACAGUACUUAAACAACCAUUACCCGUACCAGCUCUGUCCGUGCUCCAUUUUCCAUUGCAGAUCAUACUCAGAGAUAGUACCCCUUAAAUGCAGCUGGUCGUCAUAGCAAGGCCACACACAACUGCCGCGGCGUAAUGUUCAAUGCGAGACACACACCAGCGCCCAAAUUUAAUUUAAAACGUUUCAGCAUUACUCGGAUUGUACUUAAUUUAACUAAAACAAAUAUCAUAAACAUGUCUAAUUAAUACUUUAUCAACACGUCAUACUCCUGGAAAAGACCCACAUAAAUCACAUAUUUUAAAGGAAUAGUCUACUCAUUUUCAAUAUUAUUUCAUAUUUUCAUAUUUCAACAUAUAUCAAUAAUAUGUUAUUACCUUAACUAAGAAUUGUUGAUACAUCCCUCUAUCAUCUGUGUGCGUGCACGUAAGCGCUGGAGCGCGCUGCGACGCUUCGAUAGCAUUUAGCUUUGAGUUCACUCAAAAACUCAAAAGUCGAUUUAAAAUUGCAGUUUAAAAAAACUUGCAUGCAUUGAAGACCCGUCACCCCUAGGAACAACAUGAAACGAUUGAAUAUAUCUUCAUAUGAUAUAUCAGGACACUUCUUAAUUUCAUCCUCACACUGGCUCAUACAUGGCUGGUGUAGUAAAUAUUUACCAUAACUGUUUUAAUCAUGUUUUAUGCGUGCUCCCACCACACUGUUUUCUACUGGCUGGCCAUUAAAACUGAGCUCCCGCACAAAGAAGGGAAAUACGUCACAUCUCUUACUCCCGCGUUUGAAAAUAAUGUGGAUAACAACAUUAUUCUGUUUGAGGUGUAACAAGCUGUGUUCCCACAUGUUUAAAGGCUCUCUAAGCGAAUCUGCGAGACGUUAGUUAUUGUUGACGUUUGAAACUGUUUUCAAACAGACGGAGCGUAGCUAACUCCUCCCCCUCCCUUCCGUGCUUUCAUGAACGCGCCCAACCCCCACCCCCAAAUCCUUUGUCGUUUAUUGGCUGGAAUACUUUGUUUUGUUUUGUGAUGCUAGGUUUGGCCACUUGUUGAUAUUGCCGUUUGUGAAGUCUAGGCUGUCUACAGAGAUCGCGUUUUUUUACAGUUUGAUCAACGGACAGGCAGCAAGCAGAUAGUGAGGAGAUGUUUCCGGUAUGUAACAAAAAAUGUUUUAUGGUCUAAAACGCUUCAAUUCCCUUAGAGUGCCUUUGUUUUGCCGCUUAUGACCGUAAUCAUCAUGGAAAACGUUGGUUUACUGAUACUACACGCCAGAAGUCGCACCCAUAAUUCGCGCAAAUCGUCAUGGGGUGUAGGAAUAGUGUGCAUAGGGCCCAAAAUUAUUAACAAGAGGGUAACAUUCUUCAUAGAGCCAUAGCUUAUUUAUUUUGCUUUUAAAGUGCACCAAAUGAAUGCACUUAACAUUAAAAUGAACACUUUUCUUUUGAGUGGAAAUGUACAUCUCAAAUGGGGAUCUGCAGUGAAUGGAAAGGACAUUGCUGUAAAAUAUCAGAAAUAUGUAUGUAUGUAUGUAUGUAUGUAUGUAUGUAUGUAUGUAUGUAUUUAGUGAAAAAGUUGUUGAUGCAAAUGCACUUAACAUAGACCUUCUGUUUGUUUUUUGUACAUUUAAAACACAAUAUACUAAUACAGAAUGUGUGGACAUAAACUGGAAUGUUGGUUGCAAUUACUGUCAAAUAAUGUUUAUAUUAAGUAAAUCCCAUGUACUAUUAAGAAAAGUCUGUAGAUAUAUUGGAGUUGCUUGUUAUUACUGUCAAAUUAUAUUCAUAUAAGGUUAGUCCCAUGCACUUAUAAGAAAGGUCUGUAUAUAUCGGAGUUGCUUAUAACAGUGGUUCUCAAACUGGGGUCCGGGGCCCCCAGGGGGGCCGCGAGAUGGUGCCAGGGGGGCCCCAGUUUUAUGACAUUUUAUAAAAUACAUUAAAUUCUAAUGAAUUCUGGGAAAUUAAACCAAAAAAAGGUAGCACUACUUUGUAUAAUUUAAUGUUUUGUUUAAUUAAAACGUGAAGUUUUAGAACAGUUUUUUGUCAUAAAUUUUCUUUGGGGGGGGCGCCAAGGAAUGCACCGUACACAAAGGGGGGCCGCACGCUGAAAAAGUUUGAGAACCACUGGCUUAUA
Non-coding RNA from Paramisgurnus dabryanus, 3099 nucleotides. NCBI's taxonomy places the organism in Eukaryota, Metazoa, Chordata, Actinopteri, Cypriniformes, Cobitidae. The record is from RefSeq and is a predicted model, not a curated record.